Long non-coding RNA from Aegilops tauschii subsp. strangulata, 645 nucleotides. RefSeq lists it as uncharacterized. The record is from RefSeq and is a predicted model, not a curated record. Lineage: Eukaryota; Viridiplantae; Streptophyta; Magnoliopsida; Poales; Poaceae.
UUGCUGAUAGAGUGAUUCAGAAAGCAGUCCGUCCGCCUCCGGCCUCCGCGUCGGCCGCCGGCGACGUGAUAGCUUAUCCUGAGCUCUGACCAGCAGUCACUUCUGACCUCGUCCUCGGAAUCUCCAUCCCCUUCCAACCACGCGGGCGGCACGCCCACGGCUCGCCGUCCAGUCCGCCCACACCGGCGGCCCGCACGCCGGCGCCUGAGGCUCCUCUGGCUUCUCCGCGCUUGGAACUGCCGGCAGCGCACGCCGAGACGCCGCUCCCUCGUCGGCUCGUCGCCCACUCGCCCUGAACACUUGGUUUUGCUUAGGAAGCAAUGGGGAAACAGCAGAGUCGAUGCAGUCAUUUUAAAAAAGAAAAGGGGACGAGGAAAUUGGUAAAUCUCCAUCAGCUCCUGAUGGUCUAGCAUUGAUGGUCGUUAGGUGUAGUCUUUUCUGGAGCACCAAAAUUUACUUACAAAUGCCCAGGUAUGUGUGAACUUGUCAUAUCUGUUUUAUUUGGAUGUGUCCAUCUUGAUGAUGCAGAGGCCGGGGCCUUCCCUCCCUUUUCAAUUUUUGUGUGUGUUCUAAUAUAGUGAUAUGGUCAAUUGUGUGAACUGAUGACAUGUUCAAUUGGUCAUUUAAUUAUCCCUUUCUAUUCUA